Molecule: non-coding RNA, 24 nt
Filed under: Cricetulus griseus (Chinese hamster)
Lineage: Eukaryota; Metazoa; Chordata; Mammalia; Rodentia; Cricetidae
Source: RNAcentral
CUGAAACUGGCCCUGUAGAGCAGG